AUGAAUCGUCAUUUUUGGCAAGAGCGGGUGGCUUCAUGUUGGGCCAGUAGACGAAUCUACCUUGGGGAGUUGAUGUGAUUACCAGGCCACGCUGUGGCCCUAAUAAAGAAGUCUCCUCGUCCGGGUCCGAAUAGUAGUCGAGGUUCUCGAUCGUAUCUGUAUCGGAUUGUGAUCUGGACUGGGUAGUAUGAUAACUAGUGGUCGUGUUGCGGAGUCCGAAUGGGAAUCGAC
RNAcentral lists this long non-coding RNA (231 nucleotides) under Setaria viridis. Its description in RNAcentral is "long non-coding RNA (SVIR_LNC011326)". Lineage: Eukaryota; Viridiplantae; Streptophyta; Magnoliopsida; Poales; Poaceae. The record is from RNAcentral.